This 301-nucleotide ribosomal RNA is filed under the name Ambispora fennica. RNAcentral's name for it is "SSU rRNA". It matches the Rfam family "Eukaryotic small subunit ribosomal RNA", at positions 370 to 670 of the family's 1831-position model. Lineage: Eukaryota; Fungi; Glomeromycota; Glomeromycetes; Archaeosporales; Ambisporaceae. The record is from RNAcentral.
UUAGGGUUCGAUUCCGGAGAGGGAGCCUGAGAAACGGCUACCACAUCCAAGGAAGGCAGCAGGCGCGCAAAUUACCCAAUCCCGACACGGGGAGGUAGUGACAAUAAAUAACAAUACAGGGCCCUCACGGGUCUUGUAAUUGGAAUGAGUACAAUUUAAAUCUCUUAACGAGGAACAAUUGGAGGGCAAGUCUGGUGCCAGCAGCCGCGGUAAUUCCAGCUCCAAUAGCGUAUAUUAAAGUUGUUGCAGUUAAAAAGCUCGUAGUUGAAUUUUGGGUCUGGCCGGGCGGUCCACCUUCCGG